GAUGAACGCUGGCGGCGUGCCUAAUACAUGCAAGUCGAGCGAACGGACGAGAAGCUUGCUUCUCUGAUGUUAGCGGCGGACGGGUGGGUAACACGUGGAUAACCUACCUAUAAGACUGGGAUAACUUCGGGAAACCGGAGCUAAUACCGGAUAAUAUUUUGAACCGCAUGGUUCAAAAGUGAAAGACGGUCUUGCUGUCACUUAUAGAUGGAUCCGCGCUGCAUUAGCUAGUUGGUAAGGUAACGGCUUACCAAGGCAACGAUGCAUAGCCGACCUGAGAGGGUGAUCGGCCACACUGGAACUGAGACACGGUCCAGACUCCUACGGGAGGCAGCAGUAGGGAAUCUUCCGCAAUGGGCGAAAGCCUGACGGAGCAACGCCGCGUGAGUGAUGAAGGUCUUCGGAUCGUAAAACUCUGUUAUUAGGGAAGAACAUAUGUGUAAGUAACUGUGCACAUCUUGACGGUACCUAAUCAGAAAGCCACGGCUAACUACGUG
RNAcentral lists this ribosomal RNA (497 nucleotides) under uncultured bacterium. RNAcentral describes it as "partial 16S ribosomal RNA". It matches the Rfam family "Bacterial small subunit ribosomal RNA", at positions 28 to 507 of the family's 1533-position model. The record is from RNAcentral.